CGCACGGGUGAGUAACACGUAUCCAACCUGCCGUCUACUCUUGGACAGCCUUCUGAAAGGAAGAUUAAUACAAGAUGGCAUCAUGAGUCCGCAUGUUCUCAUGAUUAAAGGUAUUCCGGUAGACGAUGGGGAUGCGUUCCAUUAGAUAGUAGGCGGGGUAACGGCCCACCUAGUCUUCGAUGGAUAGGGGUUCUGAGAGGAAGGUCCCCCACAUUGGAACUGAGACACGGUCCAA
Molecule: ribosomal RNA, 235 nt
Filed under: uncultured bacterium
Lineage: Bacteria
Description: partial 16S ribosomal RNA
Rfam family: Bacterial small subunit ribosomal RNA
Source: RNAcentral